GACGAACGCUGGCGGCGUGCUUAACACAUGCAAGUCGAACGAAGAGCGAUGGAAGCUUGCUUCUAUCAAUCUUAGUGGCGAACGGGUGAGUAACGCGUAAUCAACCUGCCCUUCAGAGGGGGACAACAGUUGGAAACGACUUCUAAUACCGCAUACGAUCUAAUCUCGGCAUCGAGGAUAGAUGAAAGGUGGCCUCUACAUGUAAGCUAUCACUGAAGGAGGGGAUUGCGUCUGAUUAGCUAGUUGGAGGGGUAACGGCCCACCAAGGCGAUGAUCAGUAGCCGGUCUGAGAGGAUGAACGGCCACAUUGGGACUGAGACACGGCCCAGACUCCUACGGGAGGCAGCAGUGGGGAAUCUUCCGCAAUGGACGAAAGUCUGACGGAGCAACGCCGCGUGAGUGAUGACGGCCUUCGGGUUGUAAAGCUCUGUUAAUCGGGACGAAAGGCCUUCUUGCGAACAGUUAGAAGGAUUGACGGUACCGGAAUAGAAAGCCACGGCUAACUACGUG
Molecule: ribosomal RNA, 510 nt
Filed under: uncultured bacterium
Lineage: Bacteria
Description: partial 16S ribosomal RNA
Rfam family: Bacterial small subunit ribosomal RNA
Source: RNAcentral